UGCACACAGGCAAGAGUCUAUGGAAGCUAAUGUGAAGGAUGAGAAUCUCAUCACGUGCACCUUAAACGCCAACCAAGCACUUGCGAGGCGAGAGGCAAAUCUGAGCGCUCUUGAGGGCUCCUGAGAGCCCUGCAUUCAGUCAACAAAUACUCUUCAGUGCCAACUACGAACCAGACAGUGCACAAAGUGAACAAGAUAAAAUCCCUGAGCUCAUGAAGCUAACAGUAUAGUGGGAAAGACAAAACUCUUCAAGAU
This 255-nucleotide long non-coding RNA is filed under the name Ictidomys tridecemlineatus (thirteen-lined ground squirrel). Its description in RNAcentral is "lncRNA (ENSSTOG00000033809.1)". Lineage: Eukaryota; Metazoa; Chordata; Mammalia; Rodentia; Sciuridae. The record is from RNAcentral.